Molecule: long non-coding RNA, 568 nt
Organism: Nilaparvata lugens (brown planthopper)
Lineage: Eukaryota; Metazoa; Arthropoda; Insecta; Hemiptera; Delphacidae
Exons: 3
Source: RefSeq, a predicted model, not a curated record
CUUUGAGUUCCCAGUACGAGACACAGUGCGGUUUCUCUUGAAGGGUUCAGCAGUUUCUCGGCUUUAUCGGGAGUAGAAUGAAUAAAAACAAUGUUGUUUCUCCUGUAAUUGUACGGGGUACAACUGUAUUGCAAUUGCCCGCAGAACUAUAUGGAGGACAACUGUAUCAAUAUCAGAAGAUUGAUAAGAGAUGGAAAAUUGACUUCCAUCAAAUCGUAUGACUUGCACAUUUCACUGAACUGAGUUAAAAGAGCAUGACUUGGCAAGUCAUUCAGCACCUUUCAACUGUUUGAUGCAGUAAUAAUACUGUUACACCCAGGAAGGUUCCCCAAAUAUUUCGCCAAUUCUUCACAAACUUUUCAACUCUUCAACUUUCUAACUGGUGAAAUUCUUUUGGGAUCUAUUGAAGAAGAGGCUCACACUUUCCGACGAUUACUGUUCUACUCUUCUAUCACGUUCACGAAUUAUUUUGUCAAUGAUGAAUGAAGAGUAAUGUGCAUUAUUAUUUUAGCACCAAAUAACCAUUUUAAACGAUAAUAGUUGAUUAUCAUAUUGUUUAUAAUACAAU